RNAcentral lists this non-coding RNA (25 nucleotides) under Rattus norvegicus (Norway rat). Lineage: Eukaryota; Metazoa; Chordata; Mammalia; Rodentia; Muridae. The record is from RNAcentral.
UGUGCUCAUGUGUUAGGUCCAAUGU